CUUUCGGGUGUCUCUUAUAGAUGGACCCGCUAAUGCAUUACCUAUUUGGUGAUGUAACGGCUCACCAAGGCCACGAUGCAUACCCCACCUAAAAGGUUGAUCUCCCACACUGUACUGAGACACCGCCCACACUCCUACAGAAGGCAGCACUACUGAAUCUUCCUCAAUGGACUAAAGUCUGACCGACCAACACCCCGUGACUUAAAAUGUUUUCAGAUCCUAAAACUCUGUUGUUACAAAACAACAAAGACUUUAGUAACUGAACGUCCCCUGACGGUAUCUAACC
This 286-nucleotide ribosomal RNA is filed under the name Enterococcus sp. RNAcentral's name for it is "partial 16S ribosomal RNA". It matches the Rfam family "Bacterial small subunit ribosomal RNA", at positions 208 to 484 of the family's 1533-position model. The record is from RNAcentral. Lineage: Bacteria; Bacillati; Bacillota; Bacilli; Lactobacillales; Enterococcaceae.